This is a long non-coding RNA of Polyodon spathula (Mississippi paddlefish), 1992 nucleotides long. RefSeq lists it as uncharacterized. NCBI's taxonomy places the organism in Eukaryota, Metazoa, Chordata, Actinopteri, Acipenseriformes, Polyodontidae. The transcript has 3 exons. The record is from RefSeq and is a predicted model, not a curated record.
CAAACCCUUUGUGAGUGACAAUGGGGAACUGCCUGAAAUGCACAGGGGAUACCAAAUAAUACAGCCAUAGACUAUGCUAUUGUCAGCUGUCUAAUUUGGUAUCCACUGUUUCUCAUUGUAAAUGCCAAUCUUCUGUGUGUACUGUAUAUAAAAUAAAUAUAUAAACAAAUAUCUGUAAACAAUAACGUUAUAUCCUAACCCUAGUCAUAACUGAUUACGCACACCACACAAAUAUCCUGCCGCCCUGUCGAAAAAGUUUGUAAAUGACUGCAAAAUGCAGCUGACUGCCGUUGCGCGUGCACAUCACUCGUACUUUAUCUCGGACACGAGCAAAAGAUAAAUCAGACGUGCUUGUGGGAUAAUCUCUUUUUAAUCAUGCGCAAUGCUCCAGGGGAUACAGAUUUCUGAGGGGUACUGAAUUGGUUACGACACCUGCUCACAGAGCGCGCAGCAACCAGGGUCGCUGCGAGUUACCCUUGCCAGUUUCAGACCCCAAACAACAAUGCCCCACACAAGUUUCUUGUGACAGUCUGGGACCAAAUUCAAAAGUGCUGAGAAUACCCUAAGGCUGAUCUGGUCUUUGUAAUCAACCUGGUUGGAAUAAAUAGUUUAUAUUGUGGCUUUCACCAAAUAUGAAUAAUUUUAAAAAGGGUCUUUACAUCUUACAGCAGAUCAAGCAUGGCAGGUUCACAAUGGAGUUUCAUAAUUGCGUUUUGCUUUUAUAAAAAAGCAGCUGUUGGUAUAUUUGCUGUGAGUUUACAGCUGCAGAAUGCAUUAACAGGUGGAGCAGUGUUACCUCUCAAUGCUGCUAUUUUGUUUGCUGUAUUCGUUGAGAGCUGGCAAGAGUGUUCUAGCAGCAUGCUUUCAUAGCUGUUCAUGUCAUACAAUAAUUUGAUACGUACCACAUUUUUUUGGAAAUUUUCCUUUGCUUUUAAAAUAAACCUGAAUUUUGCUGAAAAUAUUUUUUGAAGUGUAUAUUAAAUAUUAUGCACUCAAGUCACCUGACUGCUAAGGAUGUCUGUGCAAUAAGAUUACUUUGCUAGUACACAAAUUAUAUAUGAAAUAUCAGUAAGACUGCUGAUAAAUUCCUUUGCCUGUGGAAUAACAGGUUGUAAAGACAGCAUUUACAGAUUAGAUUAGUAGUUGCAAUGUUUGGUGUACUGUACAGUAAAUAUAGGGUUGCUAAAUUGCAAUGGAGCUAAACUACAGUUGCAUUGCAGUUGGACUGAAAUCUGUCUACACCCUCCUGAUGAGAUGUACUUUCCCUGUGUAUCUUCAGGCAGUCUCCUGCUUGAGUUACUGUAAGCUCUGUAGGAAAAGAAGACCCAAAGAGAGUGUGGGCCCCUUGCAGUAAAUGCCUGCUUCUAAUUAACUGACAGUUAUGCAAUUGGUAUCAAAGUAACUACCCAAAGUGCCCAGCCCCUUAUAUCCAGAGCAUUUACCCAUACUGAACCUCCUAAUUUACUGAAGCAGGAAGAACAACAAUCGAAUGCACUAUUGUAAAUCCAGUAGUACUGCACAGUAAUUGUAAAUCUUGAGUACUGUCUCAGCCAGCCAAGCAUGCACUGACAGUAUCCCACUGCUGUACUUGUGAUCUUGAAAUACUCACUGUAACUGCUGCUUCAGUUAAUUUUCAUUUUUGCACAGGAAAGGUGAGGGACAAUAGCACUAGCUACAUGAGCAGCAUACAAGCUUCCACCACAGCUCUAUGAGAGCCCCGCACUUACAGCAUAACCCCUGCCUUCACUCCUGGGUCUCACUCAAACACUCAUUUUGUUGUAUUUCCAAACUGUGUAUUUGGAUUCAUGAAUGUAUUCUGGUGGUUAAGUUGAGACAGCAUACUAAUUUUACUUGUGACUUGUGCUGAAUUGAAAAACAGACCAGGUAAAAUAUUUGCUGGCAAUGUAGCCCAUUAUGACACCUAGCCCUCCUAAUUACAAUGAUGCCAAGUACAUCCUUUAUAAAAUAAAAUAUAUUAUCAUUAUACCAAAG